Molecule: ribosomal RNA, 540 nt
Filed under: uncultured bacterium
Lineage: Bacteria
Description: partial 16S ribosomal RNA
Source: RNAcentral
GGAGUUAGCCGGUGCUUCUUCUGUGAGUGAUGUCCUUCCUGCCGGCUAUUAACCCGCAGGCCUUCUUCCUCACUGAAAGUGCUUUACAACCCGAAGGCCUUCUUCACACACGCGGCAUGGCUGGAUCAGGGUUGCCCCCAUUGUCCAAUAUUCCCCACUGCUGCCUCCCGUAGGAGUCUGGGCCGUGUCUCAGUCCCAGUGUGGCUGAUCAUCCUCUCAGACCAGCUACGGAUCGUCGCCUUGGUGAGCCGUUACCUCACCAACCAGCUAAUCCGACAUAGGCUCAUCCGAUAGCGCGAGGCCCGAAGGUCCCCCGCUUUCCCCCGUAGGGCGUAUGCGGUAUUAGCCUGGGUUUCCCCAGGUUAUCCCCCGACUACCGGGCAGAUUCCUAUGCAUUACUCACCCGUCCGCCGCUCGCCACCAGGGAGCAAGCUCCCCGUGCUGCCGCUCGACUUGCAUGUGUUAGGCCUGCCGCCAGCGUUCAAUCUGAGCCAGNGACAACAACUCGACUCGAGCGGCGGUGUCGACGACGGCGACUAG